GACGAACGCUGGCGGCGUGCUUAACACAUGCAAGUCGUACGGUAAGGCCCUUUCGGGGGUACACGAGUGGCGAACGGGUGCGUAACACGUGAGUAACCUGCCCACAACUUUGGGAUAACGCUAGGAAACUGGUGCUAAUACUGGAUAUGUGCUCCUGCUGCAUGGUGGGGGUUGGAAAGCUCCGGCGGUUGUGGAUGGACUCGCGGCCUAUCAGCUUGUUGGUGGGGUAGUGGCCUACCAAGGCGGCGACGGGUAGCCGGCCUGAGAGGGUGACCGGCCACAUUGGGACUGAGAUACGGCCCGGACUCGUACGGGAGGCAGCAGGGGGGAAUAUUGCACGAUGGGCGCAAGCCUGAUGCAGCAACGCCGCGGGCGGGAAGACGGCCUUCGGGUUGUAAACCGCUUUCAGCAGGGACGAAGCUUUUUGUGACGGUACCUGCAGAAGAAGCACCGGCUAACUACGUG
This 465-nucleotide ribosomal RNA is filed under the name uncultured bacterium. Its description in RNAcentral is "partial 16S ribosomal RNA". It matches the Rfam family "Bacterial small subunit ribosomal RNA", at positions 28 to 507 of the family's 1533-position model. The record is from RNAcentral.